UACGGAGGGGGCUAGCGUUGUUCGGAAUUACUGGGCGUAAAGCGCACGUAGGCGGCUUCUUAAGUCGGUGGUGAAAUCCUGGAGCUCAACUCCAGAACUGCCUUCGAUACUGGGAAGCUCGAGUCCGGGAGAGGUGAGUGGAACUGCGAGUGUAGAGGUGAAAUUCGUAGAUAUUCGCAGGAACACCAGUGGCGAAGGCGAGUCCCUGGACAACUUCUGACGCUGAGGCACGAAAGCUAGGGGAGCAAACAGG
This 253-nucleotide ribosomal RNA is filed under the name uncultured bacterium. RNAcentral's name for it is "partial 16S ribosomal RNA". It matches the Rfam family "Bacterial small subunit ribosomal RNA", at positions 524 to 776 of the family's 1533-position model. The record is from RNAcentral.